Molecule: ribosomal RNA, 433 nt
Filed under: uncultured bacterium
Lineage: Bacteria
Description: partial 16S ribosomal RNA
Rfam family: Bacterial small subunit ribosomal RNA
Source: RNAcentral
AACGAACGCUGGCGGCAUGCCUAACACAUGCGAGUCGAACGAGACCUUCGGGUCUAGUGGCGCACGGGUGCGUAACGCGUGGGAACCUUCCCUUAGGUUCGGAAUAACUCCCCGAAAGGGGUGCUAAUACCGGAUCAUGUCUUCGGACCAAAGAUUUAUCGCCUUUGGAUGGGCCCGCGUUGGAUUAGCUAGUUGGUAGGGUAAAAGCCUACCAAGGCGACGAUCCAUAGCUGGUCUGAGAGGAUGAUCAGCCACACUGGGACUGAGACACGGCCCAGACUCCUACGGGAGGCAGCAGUGGGGAAUAGUGGACAAUGGGCGAAAGCCUGAUCCAGCAAGGCCGCGUGAGUGAUGAAGGCCUUAGGGUUGUAAAGCUCUUUUACCCGGGAUGAUAAUGACAGUACCGGGAGAAUAAGCGCCGGCUAACUCCGUG